GGAUGUGAGGGCCAUCUGCCUGUGACACCCAUCACCACACUGAUCUCCAGGGCUGAAAAGUUGAUUUGGCUGGUUAUGCACAGAUCCCCUUCCUCCCCCAAUGCACC
RNAcentral lists this small RNA (107 nucleotides) under Cyanistes caeruleus (blue tit). RNAcentral describes it as "7SK RNA (ENSCCEG00000009196.1)". It matches the Rfam family "7SK RNA", at positions 1 to 108 of the family's 331-position model. Rfam says of the family: 7SK was discovered as an abundant small nuclear RNA in the mid-70s but a possible function has only recently been suggested. The record is from Rfam by way of RNAcentral. Lineage: Eukaryota; Metazoa; Chordata; Aves; Passeriformes; Paridae.